CCUACGGGCGGCAGCAGUGGGGAAUAUUGCACAAUGGGGGAAACCCUGAUGCAGCGACGCCGCGUGAGUGAGGAAGUAUUUCGGUAUGUAAAGCUCUAUCAGCAGGGAAGAAAAUGACGGUACCUGACUAAGAAGCCCCGGCUAACUACGUGCCAGCAGCCGCGGUAAUACGUAGGGGGCAAGCGUUAUCCGGAUGUACUGGGUGUAAAGGGAGCGUAGACGGCUAAUCAAGUCAGAAGUGAAAACCCAGGGCUCAACUUUGGGACUGCUUUUGAAACUGAGUAGCUAGAGUGCAGGAGAGGUAAGCGGAAUUCCUAGUGUAGCGGUGAAAUGCGUAGAUAUUAGGAGGAACACCAGUGGCGAAGGCGACUUUCUGGACUGUACCUGACGCUGAGGCGCGAAAGCGUGGGUAGCGAACGGGAUUAGAUACCCCAGUAGUC
RNAcentral lists this ribosomal RNA (440 nucleotides) under uncultured bacterium. RNAcentral describes it as "partial 16S ribosomal RNA". It matches the Rfam family "Bacterial small subunit ribosomal RNA", at positions 338 to 795 of the family's 1533-position model. The record is from RNAcentral.